This 584-nucleotide unclassified non-coding RNA is filed under the name Hevea brasiliensis (rubber tree). The record is from RNAcentral. Lineage: Eukaryota; Viridiplantae; Streptophyta; Magnoliopsida; Malpighiales; Euphorbiaceae.
GAGUUUAUCAUGGCAGAAGAAGGUGAAUGAUGGAAGAAAAAAGUGGGAAUAUUAACAUGUGGGCACUUUUGUUCCAAAUGCAGUGGAACCUAUUACAGAUGGAAAUGGGUUUUUAACAGCAGAAGAAAUGAAAUCUUUUGGCUUUGCAAAUUGAUAGCACGAAUUUCUUUCUGACUGAUUGAAUUGCUGCAUUACCCAAUGGGGUGUCUGGUGAGAUGAUACCUUAAGUAUAUCUUAAAGGAUUGUUGGCAAAGUUAGUGACCAGAAUUGUCCUCUGGAGGAAGUUACUGUUUAUUUGGGGUAAGCAACUAGACAGAAGAUUUUCACUCAUGAUUUGCAGGAUGGUGAUUCUUAGAUAUGCCCAGUCGGGUGCUCGUAAUAGUAUUCAUUGGGUAAUCAGUUUCUUUGUUGUAUAUCGGUCAAAAGUGAAAGGUUUCAUCUUGGACACUAACGGAGAUUUUACAUUGUAGUUUCUGUGGUUUGUAUAUGAGUAGGCCACUGAAUUGCUAACAAAAAUAUUAUUACAAUGGCAUGUGAGCUUUGGAAUCUGUGCUAGUAAGAUGUUGAAUUCUGUAGAGCUUAAC